Molecule: long non-coding RNA, 840 nt
Filed under: Homo sapiens (human)
Lineage: Eukaryota; Metazoa; Chordata; Mammalia; Primates; Hominidae
Description: HSALNT0082199
Source: RNAcentral
GCAGCCUACCACAUUUGUUAUUAUUUUCAAUGUCUAACAAACCAUGGAUCCCUGUCAAUUCUUCAAUUUCAAAUAUUUUCCCUUAAUCACCCCUUACUUUCCAUUUCACUGCCAACACCUCGAUCUCUGUCUUCCUCACCAUAAGGCAGAUUCGUAACAGCUUCCAUAACUCGCCAUGAGCCCCGCAGAGCCCUGGUUCCCCGCUGCUCGUUAUUAUUCCUGAAACGCCCAGUACCACUUCCUGUUCUUACUCAUUUAUUUAUUUGGAACACUUCAGGAAUUCGCGUGCCGUCCUGGCACAGGGGCCCUGCUGAUCUUCCCUGUACCGUUCCAAUGUUAGUCCAUGCGCUGCCGAAGCGAGCACGCUUCCUGUUCUUGUUCACGAGCCUGCAACGCCCACCGUUGCCUGCUUCCAACUGUGCCUCACGUUCCUUCCAACGGCGCCUUCCAUCCCAGCUGGGCGGGGCUUCGCCGUGUUACCUUCUCAACAUGGCGAGCUUGCUGGACGUCACGUCGCCUUCGCCUUUUCCGCUGCGGACUCUGCUCACCGACCUCCUCAGUAGAGCCGGCCCUGCUCACUACCGCGCCCACGUGUCCUGUUGUGCUUCAUUCCCACAGGCCGCAUAAGGUUCCAAAAUCAUCAGUUGAAGAUGAUCCUGCUUCAUCUACAUCCCACCAGUUCCUGGCCCCCAUAGUAAGCAAGCCGUGGACAUUAUGUAGUUUUAUCCUGAAAAUUUUUAGGAUAUCUCGAGAAGCUAAGAACUCUAAAUAAAACAACCACCAAAUGACUAUCUCAUAUAAAAAUUUAGCAAUUUCUUAACUUAUAAAAUAUCAUGUGCA